Molecule: ribosomal RNA, 318 nt
Filed under: uncultured Alphaproteobacteria bacterium
Lineage: Bacteria; Pseudomonadati; Pseudomonadota; Alphaproteobacteria
Description: bacterial SSU rRNA
Rfam family: Bacterial small subunit ribosomal RNA
Source: RNAcentral
CUCACUUCGGUGGGAAGCGGCGGACGGGUGAGUAACGCGUGGGAACGUACCCCUUUCUGCGGAAUAGCCACUGGAAACGGUGAGUAAUACCGCAUACGCCCUUUUGGGGAAAGAUUUUUCGGUGAGGGAUCGGCCCGCGUUAGAUUAGAUAGUUGGUGGGGUAAUGGCCUACCAAGUCUACGAUCAGUAGCUGGUUUGAGAGGAUGAUCAGCAACACUGGGACUGAGACACGGCCCAGACUCCUACGGGAGGCAGCAGUGGGGAAUCUUAGACAAUGGACGAAAGCCUGAUCUAGCGAUGCCGCGUGAGUGAUGAAGG